CAGCCAGCCUCCCCUCCCCCCCACCUAUCCCCCAGCACCUCACCCAACCCAGCCCUGACGGAGGGGAGGGAGGAGAGAGAGAGAGGGGUGCUCCUGGGGAGGAGGGAGAAAGGAGGGGGUGCUCCGUGGGGCAGGGGGGAGAAGAAUGGAUGUUAUGGGAGACAACAAAGGAUACUGGUUCCAGAGCCACAGAGCCUGCCUCACCUGACCUCAGCCGGGGGGAAAGAGUCACACUCACAGGCUGCAGCUGACUGAACUGCAGACAGAAGACUCCCAGAAGUGCACAGGUGCAGUACACCAUAAACAAAAUGCUAGAAGAUGCUACAGCAAAUGCUGAUAGAGCUUCUGAUAGAUCUUUAAAGAGUCCUAAGUGGGGUCUCGACCAGUGAGAACCAGUAGAAAACAUCUUCCAACACAGCCACAGUGAUGCAGAAGAAAAUUUUAAUUUUUGCCAGUUAGUAUAAUAAUAGGACCUCAAUCUAUAGGAAAAGUUAGUGGCAGAUUAAAGAAUAUUUCUUUAAUCACAAAUUCUGAUUGCCAGGAGCAUCAUUUCUAAGAAUUUUUGUGAGUUAUUCUGAAGCCUUACACAGCCUGUACAGAGCAGAGUAAUGAGUUAGAAAUCCUGGGAGUUUUGCCUGAGCGAAGACUGCGAGAUCAGGCUCUAUAUUACAAAUUCAAAUAAAAUCAAGAAAUAGAGAAACCUGAUCAAAUUGUUCAGUGAGGACAUUACUGACUAUUGACUAUUUGUUCUUACUAAGGACUGGAUCUGCCACAAUGAAUUCUCUCCAUCCUGACUGGGAUCUCUUGGACAAACAAACAAAGAACCACCACCAUCUUAUUGGUGCUAAAAGAGAAGCCUCCUCAACUCACCGUGAGAAAAACUUGAGUUUCCAGGUGAUGGCAGCCCUAACUUGCCAAGUACCCAGCACCUACACAACAAUAUUGCAAUGUCACUAUGAAGAAAAAUAAAACCUUCUUUGUUCCUAUUA
This is a long non-coding RNA of Gopherus flavomarginatus (Mexican gopher tortoise), 989 nucleotides long. RefSeq lists it as uncharacterized. The record is from RefSeq and is a predicted model, not a curated record. The transcript is spliced from 8 exons. Lineage: Eukaryota; Metazoa; Chordata; Testudines; Testudinidae.